UCGCCCAGACAUGAAGUGAGAUUGGCAAACCUGCUGAAUUUAAGCAUAUAAGUAAGCGGAGGAAGAGAAACUAAAUAGGAUUCCCUCAGUAAUGGCGAACGAACAGGGAAGAGCUCAGAUUGGAUAUCGGGGCCUGUGGCUCCGAAUUGUAGUCUCGAAAUGCAAUGCCAUCGGGGGCGCAGAUUUAAGCCUCUUGGAAGAGAGCGCCGGCGAGGGUGAGAGUCCCGUUCGUCAAUUUGCAGUCCUCCGUACACGGCUUGCACUUGUUGAGUCACGUUCCUCGGGAUUGGAGCGCAAAUAGGGUGGUAAAUUUCAUCUAAAGCUAAAUAUAUGUUUGAGACCGAUAGCACACAAGUACCAUGAGGGAAAGAUGAAAAGGACUUUGAAAAGAGAGUUAAAAGUGCCUGAAAUUGCUGCAAGGGAAGCGGAUGGAACCAGUCCACGCGGUGAGAUUGUUGGGCGGAGGCGUGCGGGGUUGCACUUUCAACGAAAGUGGGGGUGUGAGUCUCAAUCGCCUUUCGCCUGAUGGUUCUUGCCGUGGGGGUCAUUGGUGAUUGGCAGCCGGGGAAACCUUCAAAGGCAUGGUAGCCCGUCUCCGGAUGGGUGAACGCGUUUGAUAGCACUCGGCCGCUGAUCAUAUCCGAGGUGUCCGGUAACUGGCGGCCUUGAGCGCAACGCGAGAACCAAUCGGUUCUUGCUGCGCGUUCGGCCGUAGGUCCUGACACACAUCUACGACCAAAUGGUUCUUUCCGACCCGUCUUGAAACACGGACCAAGGAGUCUAGCAUAUGUGCGAGUGCUUGGGCUGCAAACCCGUGCGCGCAACGAAAGUGACUGCUGGGAUGUUUGCACCAGCAACCGACUGAUCAAUUGCGAGACGUUUGAGUGUGAGCAUAUCUGCUAGGACCCGAAAGAUGGUGAACUAUGCCUGUGAAGAGCGAACCCAGGGGAAACUCUGGUGGAGGCUCGUAGCGAUACUGACGUGCAAAUCGUUCGUCAUACAUGGGUAUAGGGGCGAAAGACUAAUCGAACCAUCUAGUAGCUGGUUCCCUCCGAAGUUUCCCUCAGGAUAGCUGGAGUUGAUCAGUUUUAUCAGGUAAAGCGAAUGAUUAGAGGAAUUGGGGGCGCGUUGUCUUCGACCUAUUCUCAAACUUUAAAUGGGUAAGAUCGAUUAGUUACUUAAUUGAACUUUUCGGACAAAUGUCAACUCCAAGUGGGCCGUUUUUGGUAAGCAGGACUGGCGAUGAGGGAUGAACCUAACGUUCGGAUAAAGUGCUUAACUGCUC
Molecule: ribosomal RNA, 1285 nt
Filed under: Margalefidinium polykrikoides
Lineage: Eukaryota; Dinophyceae; Gymnodiniales; Gymnodiniaceae
Description: eukaryotic LSU rRNA
Rfam family: Eukaryotic large subunit ribosomal RNA
Source: RNAcentral